UUUUUAUCCAACUGCUAUGUUUUUUACAUUUUUUCUAAUACUCAGGAGUGCUCUAGUGGUUUAUAAAUAUAGGUACUUUAAUUGAAUACGAAAAUAUACCGAUUAACAGUAAUAUUCAAAACUUCUGUUUUUGUAUAUCAUUGAGCUUGUGUUAACUAGAGUACAUAUUUUACAAAUGUUAAAUUUAUGUUUAUUUUCCAAACCUGUUGUCUAAAAUUUUAACUAUAAUGAGAAGUUUUCGAAGUAUAUGAUACUUGCUUUUUUAAUAAAAAACAUUUUUUCCAAUUAUAGCAGAAUAAUAAAUGCCUUGGCUUACUUUCUAGACUAUUCUCAAUAAAAUGACUACUUAAUUUAGUUAAACAUAUACAAAAACAUCCGAUAUUUGUUUUCCUAAAUGAAAUACAAAAGUUUUUAAGAUACAACCAUAUGAUACAACAAUGACAAACGUGGGAUUACUUCUAAUAUUAUAAAAUCGUUUUGAUAAUUAAAAUUGUUUUGGCCAUGGCUUCAGCAAUAUAUACUAUGCAUAGUAUGAUACAUAACUUUCACUGUUCGAUAUUUUCUAUAAUCUGAUGCUAUGAUUAUUUUUAGAAAUUAGCGUAAGACUCAUAAGUUGCUUUGCUGUGUAAACUAGCUAUAAAACUAAGAAACUCACGUUUCCUUGGAUCAGUUGAAAGUUCAAUCUUAAUAUAGUUAUAAUACUAUUUAGUAUUUUCCGAUAUUUUUGUAGCUAGCUUCAUUAUUUGUGGUAAGCAUACUAGCAUCAUUUUCAGUAGAUCUAAGUCACG
Non-coding RNA from Schizosaccharomyces pombe (fission yeast), 788 nucleotides. The record is from the annotation of a GenBank genome assembly. NCBI's taxonomy places the organism in Eukaryota, Fungi, Ascomycota, Schizosaccharomycetes, Schizosaccharomycetales, Schizosaccharomycetaceae.